UACGGAGGGUGCAAGCGUUAAUCGGAAUUACUGGGCGUAAAGCGUGCGUAGGUGGUUUGUUAAGUCAGAUGUGAAAGCCCCGGGCUCAACCUGGGAACUGCAUUUGAAACUGGCAAACUAGAGUAUAGGAGAGGAAAGUGGAAUUUCAGGUGUAGCGGUGAAAUGCGUAGAUAUCUGAAGGAACAUCAAUGGCGAAGGCAGCUUUCUGGACUAAUACUGACACUGAGGUACGAAAGCGUGGGUAGCAAACAGG
This 253-nucleotide ribosomal RNA is filed under the name uncultured bacterium. RNAcentral describes it as "partial 16S ribosomal RNA". It matches the Rfam family "Bacterial small subunit ribosomal RNA", at positions 524 to 776 of the family's 1533-position model. The record is from RNAcentral.